UUAAGUUCAGCGGGUAGUCCUACCUGAUUUGAGAUCAAACAUUCAAAGAGCUGUCCUCACCGAGGAGAGACCUUUUGUAAGCCCCAGUGAACCCCCAUCUCUGAAGGUUACCUGAUGUAAAACCACAAGCGUAGAUAAUUAUCACACCUGUGAUGCCACCAGACACUGGCAAGCUGAUUCAUUUAAGGGGAGCUGACUAC
Molecule: unclassified non-coding RNA, 200 nt
Filed under: Tomentella sp.
Lineage: Eukaryota; Fungi; Basidiomycota; Agaricomycetes; Thelephorales; Thelephoraceae
Description: partial internal transcribed spacer 2
Source: RNAcentral